RNAcentral lists this transfer RNA (23 nucleotides) under Fejervarya limnocharis (Boie's wart frog). RNAcentral describes it as "tRNA-Asn". Lineage: Eukaryota; Metazoa; Chordata; Amphibia; Anura; Dicroglossidae. The record is from RNAcentral.
CUAGAAAGACGGGCCUUGAUCCC